Molecule: transfer RNA, 74 nt
Filed under: Candidatus Lloydbacteria bacterium RIFCSPHIGHO2_02_FULL_51_22
Lineage: Bacteria; Candidatus Lloydiibacteriota
Also listed under: 2 other names
Description: tRNA-His
Rfam family: tRNA
About the family: Transfer RNA (tRNA) molecules are approximately 80 nucleotides in length.
Source: RNAcentral
GUGCCCAUAGCUUAGUGGUAAAGCUCCGCCCUGUGGAGGCGGCGAUGAGAGUUCGAUCCUCUCUGGGCACCCCA